ACACGACCGUACCGCAAACCGACACUGGUGCGCGAGAUGAGUAUUCUAAGGCGCUUGAGAGAACUCAGGAGAAGGAACUCGGCAAAUUGACACCGUAACUUCGGAAGAAGGUGUGCCUUUAGUAGGUGAACCUGUACAAGGGGAGCCCAAUGAGGUUGCAAAAAAUCGGUGGCUGCGACUGUUUAAUAAAAACACAGCACUCUGCAAACACGAAAGUGGACGUAUAGGGUGUGACGCCUGCCCGGUGCUGGAAGAUUAAAUGAUGGGGUGCAAGCUCUUGAUUGAAGUCCCAGUAAACGGCGGCCGUAACUAUAACGGUCCUAAGGUAGCGAAAUUCCUUGUCGGGUAAGUUCCGACCUGCACGAAUGGCGUAACGAUGGCCACACUGUCUCCUCCUGAGACUCAGCGAAGUUGAAAUGUUUGUGAUGAUGCAAUCUCCCCGCGGAAAGACGGAAAGACCCCAUGAACCUUUACUGUAGCUUUGUAUUGGACUUUGAACAGAUCUGUGUAGGAUAGGUGGGAGGCUUUGAAGUGUGGUCGCUAGAUCGCAUGGAGCCAACGUUGAAAUACCACCCUGGUGUGUUUGAGGUUCUAACCUAGGCCCGUAAUCCGGGUCGGGGACAGUGCAUGGUAGGCAGUUUGACUGGGGCGGUCUCCUCCCAAAGCGUAACGGAGGAGUUCGAAGGUACGCUAGGUACGGUCGGACAUCGUGCUAAUAGUGCAAUGGCAUAAGCGUGCUUAACUGCGAGACUGACAAGUCGAGCAGAUGCGAAAGCAGGACAUAGUGAUCCGGUGGUUCUGUAUGGAAGGGCCAUCGCUCAACGGAUAAAAGGUACUCUGGGGAUAACAGGCUGAUACCGCCCAAGAGUUCAUAUCGACGGCGGUGUUUGGCACCUCGAUGUCGGCUCAUCUCAUCCUGGGGCUGUAGCCGGUCCCAAGGGUAUGGCUGUUCGCCAUUUAAAGAGGUACGUGAGCUGGGUUUAAAACGUCGUGAGACAGUUUGGUCCCUAUCUUCCGUGGGCGCUGCAGAUUUGAGGAAGCCUGCUCCUAGUACGAGAGGACCGGAGUGGACACACCUCUGGUGUAUCGGUUGUCACGCCAGUGGCAUUGCCGAGUAGCUAUGUGUGGAAGAGAUAACCGCUGAAAGCAUCUAAGCGGGAAACUCGUUUCAAGAUGAGAUCUGCCGGGGCCUUGAGCCCCCUAAAGAGUCGUUCAAGACCAGGACGUUGAUAGGUCGGGUGUGGAAGCGCAGUAAUGCGUUAAGCUAACCGAUACUAAUUGCUCGUGCGGCUUGAUCAA
This 1299-nucleotide ribosomal RNA is filed under the name metagenome. RNAcentral's name for it is "bacterial LSU rRNA". It matches the Rfam family "Bacterial large subunit ribosomal RNA", at positions 1636 to 2925 of the family's 2925-position model. The record is from RNAcentral.